GAUGAAGAACGCAGCGAAAUGCGAUAAGUAAUGUGAAUUGCAGAAUUCAGUGAAUCAUCGAAUCUUUGAACGCACAUUGCGCCCGCCAGUAUUCUGGCGGGCAUGCCUGUUCGAGCGUCAUUACAACCCUCAGGCCCCCGGGCCUGGCGUUGGGGAUCGGCGGAGCCCCCCGUGGGCACACGCCGUCCCCCAAAUACAGUGGCGGUCCCGCCGCAGCUUCCAUCGCGUAGUAGCUAACACCUCGCGACUGGAGCGCGGCGCGGCCACGCCGUAAAACACCCAACUCUUCUGAAGUUGACCUCGAAUCAGGUAGGAAUACCCGCUGAACUUAAGCAUAUCAAUAAGCGGAGGA
This 352-nucleotide unclassified non-coding RNA is filed under the name soil metagenome. Its description in RNAcentral is "partial contains 5.8S ribosomal RNA, internal transcribed spacer 2, and large subunit ribosomal RNA". The stretch from base 1 to 120 matches the Rfam family "5.8S ribosomal RNA", at positions 35 to 154 of the family's 154-position model. The record is from RNAcentral.